Molecule: ribosomal RNA, 465 nt
Filed under: Vreelandella stevensii
Lineage: Bacteria; Pseudomonadati; Pseudomonadota; Gammaproteobacteria; Oceanospirillales; Halomonadaceae
Description: partial 16S ribosomal RNA
Rfam family: Bacterial small subunit ribosomal RNA
Source: RNAcentral
CCUACGGGAGGCAGCAGUGGGGAAUAUUGGACAAUGGGGGGAACCCUGAUCCAGCCAUGCCGCGUGUGUGAAGAAGGCCCUCGGGUUGUAAAGCACUUUCAGUGAGGAAGAACGCCUGGUGGUUAAUACCCAUCAGGAAAGACAUCACUCACAGAAGAAGCACCGGCUAACUCCGUGCCAGCAGCCGCGGUAAUACGGAGGGUGCGAGCGUUAAUCGGAAUUACUGGGCGUAAAGCGCGCGUAGGUGGCUUGAUAAGCCGGUUGUGAAAGCCCCGGGCUCAACCUGGGAACGGCAUCCGGAGCUGUCAAGCUAGAGUGCAGGAGAGGAAGGUAGAAUUCCCGGUGUAGCGGUGAAAUGCGUAGAGAUCGGGAGGAAUACCAGUGGCGAAGGCGGCCUUCUGGACUGACACUGACACUGAGGUGCGAAAGCGUGGGUAGCAAACAGGAUUAGAUACCCGAGUAGUC